This 468-nucleotide ribosomal RNA is filed under the name uncultured bacterium. RNAcentral describes it as "partial 16S ribosomal RNA". It matches the Rfam family "Bacterial small subunit ribosomal RNA", at positions 28 to 507 of the family's 1533-position model. The record is from RNAcentral.
GACGAACGCUGGCGGCGUGCUUAACACAUGCAAGUCGAACGGAAAGGCCCUGCUUUUGUGGGGUGCUCGAGUGGCGAACGGGUGAGUAACACGUGCGUAACCUGCCCUUGACUUUGGGAUAACUUCAGGAAACUGGGGCUAAUACCGGAUAGGAGCUCCUGCUGCAUGGUGGGGGUUGGAAAGUUUCGGCGGUUGGGGAUGGACUCGCGGCUUAUCAGCUUGUUGGUGGGGUAGUGGCUUACCAAGGCUUUGACGGGUAGCCGGCCUGAGAGGGUGACCGGCCACAUUGGGACUGAGAGACGGCCCAGACUCCUACGGGAGGCAGCAGUGGGGAAUAUUGCACAAUGGGCGGAAGCCUGAUGCAGCAACGCCGCGUGCGGGAUGACGGCCUUCGGGUUGUAAACCGCUUUCGCCUGUGACGAAGCGUGAGUGACGGUAAUGGGUAAAGAAGCACCGGCUAACUACGUG